This is a long non-coding RNA of Falco peregrinus (peregrine falcon), 804 nucleotides long. RefSeq lists it as uncharacterized. The record is from RefSeq and is a predicted model, not a curated record. The transcript has 5 exons. NCBI's taxonomy places the organism in Eukaryota, Metazoa, Chordata, Aves, Falconiformes, Falconidae.
CUUAGCCAAGCUAGAUAUCUAGUGCUUUCAUCUCUCCCUGCUGAUCCCUGCCUACCCUUCUGGUCUUUCUUUGCCUGCCUCUGCAUUUCCCUUUAUCUGCUAGCAUCCUCCUAAAAACAUUGUGCCUCCGGAGGAGGGGGCGUCAUCGGGCUGUUUGCACAGGGACAUGCUCCCCUCCUCUUCUCCCGCGGGAACCUCUGCAGCACCCCAGCACCACGGAAGCCUCGCCAGCAGAUAUGAAUAAGCAGAGUUUAUGGCAGUUCAAGACAGCCUCAGACAUAGCCCAGACUUAACAGACUUUGUUCAUCGCUUUGCCACCUGGUAUAAAUCUGAUGCGCUAGUAUUCACCUAAGGCAAGUCAAGGAACAUGUAAGCAGAGGGAGCGAGCCACCCUUAUUAGCCUUGGUGGUUCUCCUCUGUCUUUGGGGAAGCUCAUUGAUCUUGCACUGAGAGGAAGGCUUCACAGGUAACCGUUACGCGUGAUGGGGCCCAGCUUUACUGGAGAUGGCUGAACACCUGCCUGCCGAUGAGGGCACUGAGCCGCUGCUGCAUGAUGCUUAGUUGCUGGCUGGGGUUAAACCAGAACUCCUCCUUGCUGUGCCUCUUACGGCAGGCUCUUCUGAUGUACAUCUGAUAAAGCCGCAUAGCCUGUGGUCAUUACAUGGCUUUGCUACCCUGCUCUCUCUGCUGAGUCAAGCAUGUCCUGAAGCAAGGCUGGGACUGCCACCUGGGCCAGGAUGGGACAUCCCACCAGAGAGCCAACCCCACCACGUGGGCAGCCAGGCAAGUGAGGCAGGUACCCCC